RNAcentral lists this transfer RNA (84 nucleotides) under Nannocystis sp. SCPEA4. RNAcentral describes it as "tRNA-Ser". It matches the Rfam family "tRNA". Rfam says of the family: Transfer RNA (tRNA) molecules are approximately 80 nucleotides in length. Lineage: Bacteria; Pseudomonadati; Myxococcota; Nannocystales; Nannocystaceae. The record is from RNAcentral.
GGAGCAGUCGUCCAGUGGUCCAGGACACCGGUCUGGAAAGCCGGGGGGCUCGCGCCUCCGGGGGUUCGAAUCCCCCCUGCUCCG